Molecule: ribosomal RNA, 119 nt
Filed under: Hippocampus comes (tiger tail seahorse)
Lineage: Eukaryota; Metazoa; Chordata; Actinopteri; Syngnathiformes; Syngnathidae
Source: RNAcentral
GCUUGCGGUCAUACUGCGAUGAAAAUGUCCAAUCUCGUCUGAUCUUGGAAAGGGCCAAAACAGUAUGGGGGGGCCACAAAUAGGCCAGCCUGCCGGUCACCUAUUGAGUACCGCUGGCC